GCAGCAGUGUUUCAGUGGUAGAAUUCUCACCUUCCAUGUGGGAGACCUAGGUUCGAUUCUUGGCCGAGGUA
RNAcentral lists this transfer RNA (71 nucleotides) under Loxodonta africana (African savanna elephant). It matches the Rfam family "tRNA". From Rfam's summary of the family: Transfer RNA (tRNA) molecules are approximately 80 nucleotides in length. Their secondary structure includes four short double-helical elements and three loops (D, anti-codon, and T loops). Further hydrogen bonds mediate the characteristic L-shaped molecular structure. tRNAs have two regions of fundamental functional importance: the anti-codon, which is responsible for specific mRNA codon recognition, and the 3' end, to which the tRNAs corresponding amino acid is attached (by aminoacyl-tRNA synthetases). tRNAs cope with the degeneracy of the genetic code in two manners: having more than one tRNA (with a specific anti-codon) for a particular amino acid; and 'wobble' base-pairing, i.e. permitting non-standard base-pairing at the 3rd anti-codon position. Lineage: Eukaryota; Metazoa; Chordata; Mammalia; Proboscidea; Elephantidae. The record is from Rfam by way of RNAcentral.